ACACCAAUUGUGUGAGCUACCAGAAAAGUCCAAUAUGUCUCCUCGAUCUCUUCUAUAAAACAAGAACUAACCCUAUCCUGGUUUUUGUAUUUCCAUGCGCUAGCUGCAGCGAAGAGCUCUUUUAUCAUUUAGAAUCGACAACAAAAUCCUGAGCUCUUCAACCGUUUCGAAAUCAAUAUCCUUCCUAGUGCAGCUGGAGUGUUCCAAAGGGAUCGCAUUGAUCUAAUGACUCUCGAUGUCUAAAUCAUAUUAAUGUUUAGUUUUUUCGUUGGAUCAUGCGAUCCCUUAGGAAUUUUCCAGCAUUCAGCUCUAAAUUUCCACCAUGUUUUCAAGCUUUGGUUUUGGUUCAAACAUUUUGUACUCAUCUGCUGCAAGGAAAAUCUAGCUUGUAGUGAGAUUUUCUUCCACCCCAGGAGACAAGAACCAACAUGAAUGUCCUCGUAGACAAACAACUGCCUCCCAUGUCGGAUUCUCCUUUCCUAUGGGCCUAAGAUAGUGCAUUUGAUUUGUUGCUGCUUCUGUCUUUAUUGAUACUCGUACGAGCUAGCUAGCAUUGAAAGUGGCAACUAGCUAACGCAGUGCUCAUCGAAUGACUCGGAAGGAAUCUGUCAUUAUAGAAUUUAGCUUAUUAAUUACAAUCCGUACCAGGGAAAUAAACCGUCCUUGUUUUCAUAUUUUUUACAUAAUAUAUAUAUAUUCUUGGUAUAAA
Populus trichocarpa (black cottonwood) is the source of this 709-nucleotide long non-coding RNA. RefSeq lists it as uncharacterized. The transcript has 2 exons. NCBI's taxonomy places the organism in Eukaryota, Viridiplantae, Streptophyta, Magnoliopsida, Malpighiales, Salicaceae. The record is from RefSeq and is a predicted model, not a curated record.